GAUGAAGAACGCAGUGAAAUGCGAUACGUAAUGUGAAUUGCAGAUUUCAGUGAAUCAUCGAAUCUUUGAACGCACAUUGCGCCCGCCAGUAUUCUGGCGGGCAUGCCUGUUCGAGCGUCAUUUCAACCAUCAAGCGCCUCGCUUGUGUUGGGGCCCUGCGGCUGCCGCAGGCCCCUAAAUCCAGUGGCGGGCUCGUCGUCGUACCGAGUGCAGUAAACAUCCUCGCUCAGGGAACCCGACGGGUGCCGGCCGUGAAACCCCCCCUCCUCAAGGUUGACCUCGGAUCAGGUAGGAAUACCCGCUGAACUUAAGCAUAUCAAUAAGCGGAGGA
RNAcentral lists this unclassified non-coding RNA (331 nucleotides) under soil metagenome. Its description in RNAcentral is "partial contains 5.8S ribosomal RNA, internal transcribed spacer 2, and large subunit ribosomal RNA". The stretch from base 1 to 120 matches the Rfam family "5.8S ribosomal RNA", at positions 35 to 154 of the family's 154-position model. The record is from RNAcentral.